Molecule: long non-coding RNA, 145 nt
Organism: Etheostoma spectabile (orangethroat darter)
Lineage: Eukaryota; Metazoa; Chordata; Actinopteri; Perciformes; Percidae
Exons: 3
Source: RefSeq, a predicted model, not a curated record
CUGAUUUCAUCCCGAAAAUUCUUUGAACUACAGAAAUCUGUUUAGAAUUAUCUUAAUGAACAAUGCAACAAGGACGAAGCAUGUAAACUGUGUUGUCUGCUCGUUCAGAAUGGAAGGGAUCGCAAAUGGAUCCAAAUAAAGAAAC